RNAcentral lists this ribosomal RNA (658 nucleotides) under Gerronema viridilucens. Its description in RNAcentral is "eukaryotic LSU rRNA". It matches the Rfam family "Eukaryotic large subunit ribosomal RNA", at positions 38 to 670 of the family's 3401-position model. The record is from RNAcentral. Lineage: Eukaryota; Fungi; Basidiomycota; Agaricomycetes; Agaricales; Porotheleaceae.
GCAUAUCAAUAAGCGGAGGAAAAGAAACUAACAAGGAUUCCCCUAGUAACUGCGAGUGAAGCGGGAAAAGCUCAAAUUUAAAAUCUGGCGGUCCUUGCGGUCGUCCGAGUUGUAAUUUAGAGAAGUGUUAUCCGCGCUGGACCGUAUACAAGUCUCCUGGAAUGGAGCGUCAUAGAGGGUGAGAAUCCCGUCUUUGAUACGGACUACCAGGGCUUUUGUGAUGCGCUCUCGAAGAGUCGAGUUGUUUGGGAAUGCAGCUCAAAAUGGGUGGUAAAUUCCAUCUAAAGCUAAAUAUUGGCGAGAGACCGAUAGCGAACAAGUACCGUGAGGGAAAGAUGAAAAGAACUUUGGAAAGAGAGUUAAACAGUACGUGAAAUUGUUGAAAGGGAAACGCUUGAAGUCAGUCGCGUUGGCUGGGGAUCAACCUUGCUCUUUUGCUUGGCGUACUUCCCAGUUGAUGGGUCAGCAUCAGUUUUGACUGUUGGAUAAAGGUGCAAGGGAAUGUGGCAUCUUCGGAUGUGUUAUAGCCUUUGGUCGUAUACAGCGGUUGGGACUGAGGAACUCAGCACGCCGCAAGGCCGGGUACUUGUACCACGUAACGUGCUUAGGAUGCUGGCAUAAUGGCUUUAAUCGACCCGUCUUGAAAGCACGGACCAAG